Molecule: ribosomal RNA, 615 nt
Filed under: Curvularia sp. W41
Lineage: Eukaryota; Fungi; Ascomycota; Dothideomycetes; Pleosporales; Pleosporaceae
Description: eukaryotic LSU rRNA
Rfam family: 5.8S ribosomal RNA (bases 230-383)
Source: RNAcentral
GUGAACCUGCGGAAGGAUCAUUACACAAUAAAAUAUGAAGGCUGUACGCGGCUGUGCUCUCGGGCCAGUUUUGCAGAGGCUGAAUUAUUUAGCGGCUGGACUAUUUAUUACCCUUCUCUUUUGCGCACUUGUUGUUUCCUGGGCGGGUUCGCUCGCCACCAGGACCACAUCAUAAACCUUUUUUAUGCAGUUGCAAUCAGCGUCAGUAUAACAAAUGUAAAUCAUUUACAACUUUCAACAACGGAUCUCUUGGUUCUGGCAUCGAUGAAGAACGCAGCGAAAUGCGAUACGUAGUGUGAAUUGCAGAAUUCAGUGAAUCAUCGAAUCUUUGAACGCACAUUGCGCCCUUUGGUAUUCCAAAGGGCAUGCCUGUUCGAGCGUCAUUUGUACCCUCAAGCUUUGCUUGGUGUUGGGCGUUUUUGUCUUUGGGUUGCCAAAGACUCGCCUUAAAAGGAUUGGCAGCCGGCCUACUGGUUUCGCAGCGCAGCACAUUUUUGCGCUUGCAAUCAGCAAAAGAGGACGGCAAUCCAUCAAGACUCCUUCUCACGUUUGACCUCGGAUCAGGUAGGGAUACCCGCUGAACUUAAGCAUAUCAAUAAGCUGAGGAAAAGAAAC